GUAGGGAGCGAGCGUUGUCCGGAAUUACUGGGUGUAAAGGGAGCGUAGGCGGGAUCGCAAGUCAGAUGUGAAAACUAUGGGCUUAACCCAUAAACUGCAUUUGAAACUGUGGUUCUUGAGUGAAGUAGAGGUAAGCGGAAUUCCUAGUGUAGCGGUGAAAUGCGUAGAUAUUAGGAGGAACAUCAGUGGCGAAGGCGGCUUACUGGGCUUUAACUGACGCUGAGGCUCGAAAGCGUGGGGAGCAAACAGGAUUAGAUACCCUGGUAGUCCACGCCGUAAACGAUGAUUACUAGGUGUGGGGGGACUGACCCCUUCCGUGCCGCAGCAAACGCAAUAAGUAAUCCACCUGGGGAGUACGACCGCAAGGUUG
RNAcentral lists this ribosomal RNA (370 nucleotides) under uncultured bacterium. RNAcentral's name for it is "bacterial SSU rRNA". It matches the Rfam family "Bacterial small subunit ribosomal RNA", at positions 527 to 896 of the family's 1533-position model. The record is from RNAcentral.